GAGCGCCUGGGCUGGGCUGGGGCCUUCCUCUUCAUUAGUUCACUGGAAUCCUUUCCACGUCCCCAAGACAGGCACCAUUCAGAUUUUACAGGUUCUAAGAAGCUAAAUAAUAGGCCUGAGCUUUGUAGCUCGUCUGAAGCAGAACAAGGAUUCAGUCAUGCCUGUCUAAAGUGAAUCCAUGCCUGGGCCUUUAACUAACCCCCUGGCUCCAAUGCGCCGGGUAUGCGCUGCAUAGCCUCUGCCACGCACCACACAGACUCAGCUGCCCCGCCCCCGCCUGCCCCCACGGGCCCUCGGUGACUCUCUAGAGGCCUGGGGGCUGGCCUAGACGCAGUUUCUGUUCCACUACUGAGCCUUAGAAUAUGGUGGCUUCUUUUCCUUCUGGUGAGCCACUUGCCCACGUGAUUCCUGCAGAAUCAGUGAAUGCUGUUAGUCUGGUGCUGAGAACAGCACAGCCGCUGGGUGUGGUGUGUGUGCCAGAAGGACGCAAGUGGGGAUCCCAGUGGAGGUGGCCCUGCCUUUGGGUCUCGGCUGGAGGAGGUGGAGAUGAGGUCACCUGGAGAUGGGAGCCUGGGCCCCGCCUCACUCACCUUGACUGCCUUGGUCAGGACUGGGAGCAGGUUAGCCCCCGGGCUCUUCCAGGCUUGGAGCUCCUGUCCUGCUGCCCACAGGGAAUCCAGCUGGACAAGUGUUAAAAGCGUCUCUUCGUGAGAACAAGCGAAAGGAACGCGAGGUUUUGUGAAUGACAGCCUCUCUUAGCAAGAGGAAAGCUGCCAAUCCCAUCAGUGGCAUCAGGAGCCUCCGGGGGCUCGGCAGGGGCGGCCCGGCUCCGCUUCCGCCCAG
Long non-coding RNA from Phacochoerus africanus (Common warthog), 843 nucleotides. RefSeq lists it as uncharacterized. Lineage: Eukaryota; Metazoa; Chordata; Mammalia; Artiodactyla; Suidae. The transcript has 4 exons. The record is from RefSeq and is a predicted model, not a curated record.